AAAGGAAGCAGGGAACAAGCAAUGGGAAGUUGGUGUCAAAAUGCAGAAAAACCUCCCAGCAAGCUUCUUGCAACCACCCAGGAUUUAGAGUCUUGCUGGCCGCUCUCUUUUCAAUACCAGAAUUUCACACAUUUCAAUGACUAUUAUGACUUCAAAGAAUCAAAUUUUCAUCAUUGUCCGUCAUCUGCCGGUUGAUUUGUAUAAAGGAGUUCUUCUGCAUGCACUCCCAACAAAAGCCUCCUUACUUUUGUGGCUAUAUAUCAAGUUUAAAAGUUUUGUUUGUGACAGUUGUGUCUUUGGUAAAUUAGGGCAACACUGAAGGAGUGCAGCUGCUCCACAGGA
Molecule: long non-coding RNA, 342 nt
Filed under: Homo sapiens (human)
Lineage: Eukaryota; Metazoa; Chordata; Mammalia; Primates; Hominidae
Description: HSALNT0087790
Source: RNAcentral